RNAcentral lists this ribosomal RNA (533 nucleotides) under uncultured bacterium. RNAcentral's name for it is "bacterial SSU rRNA". It matches the Rfam family "Bacterial small subunit ribosomal RNA", at positions 28 to 536 of the family's 1533-position model. The record is from RNAcentral.
GGCUAACGCUGGCGGCGUGUCUUAGCCAUGCAAGUCGAGCGGACUUAUGGGGUAACUUAUAAGUCAGCGGCGGACGGCGGAGUAACACGUAGCUAACCUACCCUCUGGACGGGGAUAACCUACCGAAAGGUGGGCUAAUACCCGAUGUAGUCAUCCUGUAUAGGGGUGAUGAAAGGUGGGCUUCUGUUUACAAGCUCAUGCUGGAGGAGGGGGCUGCGGCCUAUCAGGUAGUUGGUAGGGUAAUAGCCUACCAAGCCGAUGACGGGUAGCCGGCCUGAGAGGGUGACCGGCCCGAGGGGCACUGAGAUACGGGUCCCACUCCUACGGGAGGCAGCAGGCUAGAAAUUUGGGCAAUGGGGGAAACCCUGACCCAGUGACGCCGCGUGCAGGAAGGAGCCCUUCGGGUGGUAAACUAGCUGUCGUGUAGGGAGGAAGGGUACGUAAGGUAGGAACAAUCUUAGUACUUGACGGUACUACAGAGGAAGCCACGGCUAACCUACGUGCCAGCAGCCGCGGUAAAACUAAGACGUACU